GGCAAGGUGGCGGAGUGGUUAACGCGUCAGCCUCGAAUAGAAAAUCGUUUGAUUCUCUAGCAAGCUGAUUCCUUCGGGAGCGCAGGUUCGAAUCCUGCCCUUGUCG
This 106-nucleotide transfer RNA is filed under the name Aspergillus clavatus NRRL 1. RNAcentral's name for it is "tRNA ACLA_097160". It matches the Rfam family "tRNA". Rfam says of the family: Transfer RNA (tRNA) molecules are approximately 80 nucleotides in length. Lineage: Eukaryota; Fungi; Ascomycota; Eurotiomycetes; Eurotiales; Aspergillaceae. The record is from Rfam by way of RNAcentral.